AUUGAACGCUGGCGGCAGGCUUAACACAUGCAAGUCGAGCGGGAGAAGGUAGCUUGCUACCGGACCUAGCGGCGGACGGGUGAGUAAUGCUUAGGAAUCUGCCUAUUAGUGGGGGACAACAUCUCGAAAGGGAUGCUAAUACCGCAUACGUCCUACGGGAGAAAGCAGGGGAUCUUCGGACCUUGCGCUAAUAGAUGAGCCUAAGUCGGAUUAGCUAGUUGGUGGGGUAAAGGCCUACCAAGGCGACGAUCUGUAGCGGGUCUGAGAGGAUGAUCCGCCACACUGGGACUGAGACACGGCCCAGACUCCGACGGGAGGCAGCAGUGGGGAAUACUGGACAAUGGGGGGAACCCUGAUCCAGCCAAGCCGCGUGUGUGAAGAAGGCCUUAUGGUUGUAAAGCACUUUAAGCGAGGAGGAGGCUACUUUAGUUAAUACCUAGAGAUAGUGGACGUUACUCGCAGAAUAAGCACCGGCUAACUCUGUGCCAGCCGCCGCGGUAA
This 501-nucleotide ribosomal RNA is filed under the name uncultured bacterium. Its description in RNAcentral is "partial 16S ribosomal RNA". It matches the Rfam family "Bacterial small subunit ribosomal RNA", at positions 30 to 523 of the family's 1533-position model. The record is from RNAcentral.